CUCAAUUACCUCACUUAUUUCCAUUUUAAUAUAUAGUACUGGUAUUUUUAUAUGCUAUCAAUCGCUUUGUAAUAAAACAGAAAUAAUUUUUAAAAGUAUCACAUUUAAGAUGUAUUACAAACCACUAACAGAGCAAUUGGGAAAGAUGGAAUAGAGCACUAGACUUGGGCUCAGGUUCUAGCACCACAAUUUUCCAAUUCAGGGCCAAAACUUUGGCCUCUCUCAAGAGACUAUUUUUCUCAUAUACUCUAAGAUCUUAAUGCUGAUUAAGUCAUGUUAUAUUUGGGAAAGUAUAUGGCAUAAACUAGAAAGAUAAUUACAUAUUAGUUGAAUCUAUAUCAGGUUUUCAUAGGUUAGGGAAAAUAUAUUGUGGUUUUUCUUCCUUUUUAAAUCUGUUAUUCCUGUGACCGAAUUGUUACAGUUUGGUGCAUUCACUAGGAAUGAGUCUAGGCAUUCUGGAUUUUGAGCAUUUGUGAAAAAUCUAAUGAAUGCCACAUCGGUGCUGUGCCCAGAGAGCUUCCUCUAGAGAAGGCUUAUCCCUUGAACUUCCAUGUUGCAUCAGUGCCAGUAGACAGAACCUAUGACAAGAGGAAGCCUUCUCCAAGCCUCCAAAGCAGCACCCUGAAACAUAUAUUCUUAUAGACUUUGUGCUAUAUAGUAUUGAUUUGUCAUGGUUUUCCUUCAAAAGCCAUUUUAUUCUUAACACAAUUAAACAACAGUGCAAUUGUGAGAAUAUAACUAUACUCCCUGUAUUUCUUGUUACAAAUGGGCCUUUCCCUGAGGUGGGUCUAGGCUCUUUUAUGGAGACCUGUCAUCUUCAUGUUGGCCUUUGUUCUGAGCCAGCUUUUUCUUCAGACUGGAACUUCCUUCAGUCUGUUUCAUAUCCAAGCCAAAAAACUCUGUACCCAUGAACUCUAUUAAUGAAGCUGUAUUAUACUGUGAUUGGAAACCUUUUUGGGAGUUCCCUUGUGGCUCAGCAGAAACUAAUCUGACUAGCAUCCUUCAGAAUGCAGGUUCACUCCUUGGCCCCGCUCAGUGGAUUAAGGAUCCGGCUUUGCUGUGAACUGUGGUGUAGAUCACAGAUGGGGCUCAGAUCCUCCGUUGGUGUGGCUAUGGCGUAGGCCUGCAGCUAUAGCUCCAAUUUGACCCUUAUUCUGGGAACCUCCACAUGCCAUGGGUGUGGCCCUAAAAAGACAAAAAAAAACAAAAAGAGAGAGAGAGAGAUAGAAUUGAAGCAUGCUCGUGUUGGGAGAUGGUGCCGUGCUAAUAAUACUUCCUACAAGUACUGUAUAUGUGAAUAAGGUAUUAUGUUGUGGAACUCAAAUGAAAACUCUGCGGAUUAUGUAAAAACUAUGUUAACAACAUCUUUAAGUUAUUUGUGAAAAGGACAUGGGUGAGAAAAUGAGGAGACCUAGAUCACAGCCCUUAUAUCACUGUUAUGACCUUCAUUUGGCAAGUCACCCUUUUAGAUCUGUUUGCUUGAAAAUGAAGUAACAUCUGGGAAAUUGCUAAGGCUUUUUCCAGUGUAAAUUUCUAUUACUCUUUUUAUUAAAAUUUGAGGUGAUAAAAACUUGGUCAUACUGUACAUAAAUGAUUGUUUUACUCAAGAGUUAUUAAUAGUGUAUAAUUUUACAUUGCAGACUUGUCUUCUAAAAAUAGACAAAAGUAUAAUUGUAUUUUUCCCUAAGUGUUUAUUGCUUUAUAUGCUGUAUUUCUUGAUCAGACUUCUUCAUUUUGAGAAGGAAAAUAUUUUUCUAAGGAGAAUCUCUUAUCCUUUUUAUUUCCUACUAGCUCUUCCCCACCCCCACCACCCAAAGAUAACCUCCUCCUGCAUCCAUACUUGAAAAGUAAGUCUCGGAGUUCCCAUCAUGGCUCAGUGGUUAACGAAUCUGACUAGGAACCAUGAGGUUGCGGGUUCAAUCCCUGGCCUUGCUCAGUGGGUUAGGGAUCUGGUGUUGCAGUGAGCUGUGGAGUAGGUCACGGACGUGGCUCGGAUCCCUGGGUUGCUGUGGCUGUGGUGUAGGCCGAUGGCUACAGCUCCAAUUUGGCCCGUAGCCUGUGAACCUCCAUAUGCCGCGGGAGCGGCCCAAGAAAUGGCAAAAAGACAAAAAGACAAAAAAAAAAAAACCAAUGCUUGGCAACUGUGUUGUAAAAAUAUAAUUCAGAGGGAGUAAAUUCAUGCAAAACUGUCACAAAUAGUAUGAUUUAUAGCAUAGCACAGUCAAAAGGGAAAUGUCAUUUCUUCACUUUCAUACACACAUGCGUGCAUACACACACGCGGACACACACACACACACACACACACACACUUGCUUUCCACUAUUUUUGCCUCUGUUCUCCUUAAAAAAAACAUUUACAGGAGUUCCCAUCAUGAUUCAGUGGUUAAUGAAUCUGACUAGCAUCCAUGAGUACAAAGGUUCAAUCCCUGGCCUUGCUCAGUGGGUUAAGGAUCUGAUGUUGCCAUGAGCUGUGGUGUGGGUUGUAGACAUGGCUUGGAUCCUGCAUUGCUGUGGCUGUGGCUGGCAGCUACAGCUUCGAUUUAACCCCUAGCCUGUGGACCUCCAUAUGCCACCAGUGCAGCCCUAAAAAGACCAAAAAAAAAAAAAAAAAAAAA
RNAcentral lists this long non-coding RNA (2614 nucleotides) under Sus scrofa (pig). Its description in RNAcentral is "lncRNA (ENSSSCG00045013707.1)". The record is from RNAcentral. Lineage: Eukaryota; Metazoa; Chordata; Mammalia; Artiodactyla; Suidae.